Molecule: ribosomal RNA, 1408 nt
Filed under: Klebsiella sp. L7-5
Lineage: Bacteria; Pseudomonadati; Pseudomonadota; Gammaproteobacteria; Enterobacterales; Enterobacteriaceae
Description: bacterial SSU rRNA
Rfam family: Bacterial small subunit ribosomal RNA
Source: RNAcentral
UGCAGUCGAGCGGUAGCACAGAGAGCUUGCUCUCGGGUGACGAGCGGCGGACGGGUGAGUAAUGUCUGGGAAACUGCCUGAUGGAGGGGGAUAACUACUGGAAACGGUAGCUAAUACCGCAUAAUGUCGCAAGACCAAAGUGGGGGACCUUCGGGCCUCAUGCCAUCAGAUGUGCCCAGAUGGGAUUAGCUAGUAGGUGGGGUAACGGCUCACCUAGGCGACGAUCCCUAGCUGGUCUGAGAGGAUGACCAGCCACACUGGAACUGAGACACGGUCCAGACUCCUACGGGAGGCAGCAGUGGGGAAUAUUGCACAAUGGGCGCAAGCCUGAUGCAGCCAUGCCGCGUGUGUGAAGAAGGCCUUCGGGUUGUAAAGCACUUUCAGCGGGGAGGAAGGCGGUGAGGUUAAUAACCUUGGCGAUUGACGUUACCCGCAGAAGAAGCACCGGCUAACUCCGUGCCAGCAGCCGCGGUAAUACGGAGGGUGCAAGCGUUAAUCGGAAUUACUGGGCGUAAAGCGCACGCAGGCGGUCUGUCAAGUCGGAUGUGAAAUCCCCGGGCUCAACCUGGGAACUGCAUUCGAAACUGGCAGGCUAGAGUCUUGUAGAGGGGGGUAGAAUUCCAGGUGUAGCGGUGAAAUGCGUAGAGAUCUGGAGGAAUACCGGUGGCGAAGGCGGCCCCCUGGACAAAGACUGACGCUCAGGUGCGAAAGCGUGGGGAGCAAACAGGAUUAGAUACCCUGGUAGUCCACGCCGUAAACGAUGUCGAUUUGGAGGUUGUGCCCUUGAGGCGUGGCUUCCGGAGCUAACGCGUUAAAUCGACCGCCUGGGGAGUACGGCCGCAAGGUUAAAACUCAAAUGAAUUGACGGGGGCCCGCACAAGCGGUGGAGCAUGUGGUUUAAUUCGAUGCAACGCGAAGAACCUUACCUGGUCUUGACAUCCACAGAACUUAGCAGAGAUGGAUUGGUGCCUUCGGGAACUGUGAGACAGGUGCUGCAUGGCUGUCGUCAGCUCGUGUUGUGAAAUGUUGGGUUAAGUCCCGCAACGAGCGCAACCCUUAUCCUUUGUUGCCAGCGGUCAGGCCGGGAACUCAAAGGAGACUGCCAGUGAUAAACUGGAGGAAGGUGGGGAUGACGUCAAGUCAUCAUGGCCCUUACGACCAGGGCUACACACGUGCUACAAUGGCAUAUACAAAGAGAAGCGACCUCGCGAGAGCAAGCGGACCUCAUAAAGUAUGUCGUAGUCCGGAUUGGAGUCUGCAACUCGACUCCAUGAAGUCGGAAUCGCUAGUAAUCGUAGAUCAGAAUGCUACGGUGAAUACGUUCCCGGGCCUUGUACACACCGCCCGUCACACCAUGGGAGUGGGUUGCAAAAGAAGUAGGUAGCUUAACCUUCGGGAGGGCGCUACC